GAGGAAGAUGUAGCCUGCUACAGUCUGAGUGGCAAUGUUGAACCCAACCCACUGGUAGAUCUCGGUGGUGUAGUUGGCGCAGGUCACAAUGUUGAACAAGAAACCACGAGGGAUCUGGUAACCACCGCUACCACUUGGGCUUCUGAGGUUUCUCAGCAGGAUGUGGCAGUAGAAGUUUGCAAUCUGGCAGAUGAUCCCGAAGCCAAACCCAAUCUUCAUCUGCAGUUCACUCACUGGGGUGUAGAGCGGGUGGUUGCAGUAGUAAGCGAUGUAAGCGCCGAAAGUCCAGUAGUAGGCACAGUUCCUGAAGACGUUUGACAGAGGUGAUGUCGCGUGGCUGAAACGGUGCACGAAGAAUGUCUCCAUGAUCCUCUUGAAGUAGUGGAAGCACCAGUAGUACAUGGCAUAGGUCUGGACAGGGUGGAUGACCCGUUCCCCCUCGUACCCGAAGAAUUUGUAGACAGGCAGAUAAUAGAACAUGGGGUAGAUGAUAAGAGGACCCAAGUACUCAAAGAAGAAGAGUGUGCUGUAGUAGACUUGUGGGCCUAAAUCUUUGAAGACUACAGUCAGUGACCCGGAACCCUUCUCACAGUAUUCUGAUAGGCUGGCUUUUGGAUUGAGGACAACUGGCUUUCCACCUUUUCCAGGUUGAAGAGGGAGGGUGAGCCGCUGUCUAGCAGGAUAAUACUUCU
This 692-nucleotide long non-coding RNA is filed under the name Setaria viridis. Its description in RNAcentral is "long non-coding RNA (SVIR_LNC005240)". The record is from RNAcentral. Lineage: Eukaryota; Viridiplantae; Streptophyta; Magnoliopsida; Poales; Poaceae.